AGAGUUUGAUCAUGGCUCAGAUUGAACGCUGGCGGCAUGCCUUACACAUGCAAGUCGAACGGCAGCAUGAUCUAGCUUGCUAGAUUGAUGGCGAGUGGCGAACGGGUGAGUAAUACAUCGGAACGUGCCCUGUAGUGGGGGAUAACUAGUCGAAAGAUUAGCUAAUACCGCAUACGACCUGAGGGUGAAAGUGGGGGACCGCAAGGCCUCAUGCUAUAGGAGCGGCCGAUGUCUGAUUAGCUAGUUGGUGAGGUAAAGGCUCACCAAGGCGACGAUCAGUAGCUGGUCUGAGAGGACGAUCAGCCACACUGGGACUGAGACACGGCCCAGACUCCUACGGGAGGCAGCAGUGGGGAAUUUUGGACAAUGGGGGCAACCCUGAUCCAGCAAUGCCGCGUGUGUGAAGAAGGCCUUCGGGUUGUAAAGCACUUUUGUCCGGAAAGAAAUCGCACUUACUAAUAUUAGGUGUGGAUGACGGUACCGGAAGAAUAAGGACCGGCUAACUACGUGCCAGCAGCCGCGGUAAUACGUAGGGUCCAAGCGUUAAUCGGAAUUACUGGGCGUAAAGCGUGCGCAGGCGGUUGUGCAAGACCGAUGUGAAAUCCCCGGGCUUAACCUGGGAAUUGCAUUGGUGACUGCACGGCUAGAGUGUGUCAGAGGGGGGUAGAAUUCCACGUGUAGCAGUGAAAUGCGUAGAGGUGUGGAGGAAUACCGAUGGCGAAGGCAGCCCCCUGGGAUAACACUGACGCUCAUGCACGAAAGCGUGGGGAGCAAACAGGAUUAGAUACCCCAGUAGUCC
RNAcentral lists this ribosomal RNA (799 nucleotides) under uncultured Ralstonia sp. RNAcentral's name for it is "bacterial SSU rRNA". It matches the Rfam family "Bacterial small subunit ribosomal RNA", at positions 8 to 796 of the family's 1533-position model. Lineage: Bacteria; Pseudomonadati; Pseudomonadota; Betaproteobacteria; Burkholderiales; Burkholderiaceae. The record is from RNAcentral.